CCCCUAGAUGUUCUGGGCCGCACGCGCGCUACACUGAACAGUUCAACAAGUCUUAACCUUGGCCGAUAGGUCUGGGUAAUCUUUGAACGCUGUUCGUGAUUGGGAUAGACCUUUGCAAUUAUGGUCUUCAACGAGGAAUUCCUAGUAAACGCAAGUCAUCAGCUUGCAUUGAUUACGUCCCUGCCCUUUGUACACACCGCCCGUCGCACCUACCGAUUGAAUGGUCCGGUGAAAUCUCGGGACGGCGGCUUGGUCGCUUGCGUCCGACUGCUGAAACUUGAUUAAACCAUAUCAUUUAGAGGAAGGUGAAGUCGUAACA
RNAcentral lists this ribosomal RNA (319 nucleotides) under uncultured eukaryote. Its description in RNAcentral is "partial 18S ribosomal RNA". It matches the Rfam family "Eukaryotic small subunit ribosomal RNA", at positions 1470 to 1796 of the family's 1831-position model. The record is from RNAcentral.